RNAcentral lists this ribosomal RNA (274 nucleotides) under uncultured bacterium. RNAcentral describes it as "partial 16S ribosomal RNA". It matches the Rfam family "Bacterial small subunit ribosomal RNA", at positions 523 to 796 of the family's 1533-position model. The record is from RNAcentral.
AUACAGAGGGUGCAAGCGUUAAUCGGAAUUACUGGGCGUAAAGUGCGCGUAGGCGGUUUGUUAAGUUGGAUGUGAAAGCCCCGGGCUUAACCUGGGAGGGUCAUUCAAAACUGGCAGACUAGAGUGUGGUAGAGGGUAGUGGAAUUCCUAGUGUAGCGGUGAAAUGCGUAGAGAUUAGGAGGAACACCAGUGGCGAAGGCGACUGCCUGGACCAACACUGACGCUGAGGUGCGAAAGCGUGGGUAGCGAACAGGAUUAGAAACCCGAGUAGUCC